AGGGCAAGUCUGGUGCCAGCAGCCGCGGUAAUUCCAGCUCUCAAAAUGCAUAGAAUUAUUGCUGCGGUUAAAAAGCUCGUAGUUGGAUCUGUGCUAGCCGGCCGGUGCACACUUUGUGUGUUACUGGUUUGGUUGGCUUUUCUGCUGGUCUCUCCCCGGCGUUGGCCUUUAUUGGUUGGCGUCGGUGGGCUAGCGAGUUUACUUUGAACAAAUCAGAGUGCUUCAAACAGGCGUUUCGCUUGAAUGUUCGUGCAUGGAAUAAUAGAAGAGGAUUUCGGUCCGAUUUUAUUGGUUUUGCUGACCGAGAUAAUGGUUAACAGAGACAAACGGGGCCAUUCGUAUUGCUACGUGAGAGGUGAAAUUCUUGGACCGUAGCAAGACGGACUACAGCGAAAGCAUUUGGCAAGAAUGUCUUCAUUAAUCAAGAACGAAAGUCAGAGGUUCGAAGGCGAUCAGAUACCGCCCUAGUUCUGACCGUAAACGAUGCCAACUAGCGAUCCGCCGGCGGAUUCAUUCGCCCUGGUGGGGAGCUUCCCGGAAACGAAAGUCUUCCGGUUCCGGGGGAAGUAUGGUUGCAAAGCUGAAA
RNAcentral lists this ribosomal RNA (586 nucleotides) under Heterodera bifenestra. RNAcentral describes it as "SSU rRNA". It matches the Rfam family "Eukaryotic small subunit ribosomal RNA", at positions 552 to 1142 of the family's 1831-position model. Lineage: Eukaryota; Metazoa; Nematoda; Chromadorea; Rhabditida; Heteroderidae. The record is from RNAcentral.